UGGGGAAUAUUGGGCAAUGGGCGCAAGCCUGACCCAGCAACGCCGCGUGAGUGAUGAAGGUCUUCGGAUUGUAAAACUCUUUAAGCAGGGAAGAAGAAAGUGACGGUACCUGCAGAAUAAGCAUCGGCUAACUACGUGCCAGCAGCCGCGGUAAUACGUAGGAUGCAAGCGUUAUCCGGAAUGACUGGGCGUAAAGGGUGCGUAGGUGGUUUGGCAAGUUGGUAGCGUAAUUCCGGGGCUUAACUCCGGAACUACUACCAAAACUGUUGAACUUGAGUGCAGGAGGGGCAUGUGGAAUUCCUAGUGUAGCGGUGGAAUGCGUAGAUAUUAGGAGGAACACCAGUGGCGAAGGCGACAUGCUGGACUGUAACUGACACUGAGGCACGAAAGCGUGGGGAGCAAACA
Molecule: ribosomal RNA, 405 nt
Filed under: uncultured bacterium
Lineage: Bacteria
Description: bacterial SSU rRNA
Rfam family: Bacterial small subunit ribosomal RNA
Source: RNAcentral